GUGGGGAAUAUUGGGCAAUGGGGGAAACCCUGACCCAGCAACGCCGCGUGAAGGAAGAAGGCUUUCGGGUUGUAAACUUCUUUUAUGAGGGACGAAGAAGUGACGGUACCUCAUGAAUAAGCCACGGCUAACUACGUGCCAGCAGCCGCGGUAAUACGUAGGUGGCAAGCGUUGUCCGGAUUUACUGGGUGUAAAGGGCGCGUAGGCGGGAUAGCAAGUCAGGUGUGAAAUCCGGGGGCUUAACCCUCGAACUGCACUUGAAACUGUUAUUCUGGGUUGAUGGAGAGGAAAGCGGAAUUCCUAGUGUAGCGGUGAAAUGCGUAGAUAUUAGGAGGAACACCAGUGGCGAAGGCGGCUUGCUGGACAUUAACUGACGCUGAGGCGCGAAAGCGUGGGGAGCAAACAGGAUUAGAAACCCGAGUAGUCC
RNAcentral lists this ribosomal RNA (427 nucleotides) under uncultured bacterium. Its description in RNAcentral is "partial 16S ribosomal RNA". It matches the Rfam family "Bacterial small subunit ribosomal RNA", at positions 354 to 796 of the family's 1533-position model. The record is from RNAcentral.